UAGGGAAUAUUGGACAAUGGGGGCAACCCUGAUCCAGCCAUGCCGCGUGAGUGAAGAAGGCCCUCGGGUUGUAAAGCUCUUUUGUCCGGAAAGAAAAGUUUCGGGUUAAUACCCCGGGGUUCUGACGGUACCGGAAGAAUAAGCACCGGCUAACUUCGUGCCAGCAGCCGCGGUAAUACGAAGGGUGCAAGCGUUACUCGGAAUUACUGGGCGUAAAGCGUGCGUAGGUGGUUGUUUAAGUCUGAUGUGAAAGCCCUGGGCUCAACCUGGGAAUGGCAUUGGAAACUGGGCAGCUAGAGUGCGGUAGAGGGUAGUGGAAUUCCCGGUGUAGCAGUGAAAUGCGUAGAGAUCGGGAGGAACAUCUGUGGCGAAGGCGACUGCCUGGACCAGCACUGACACUGAGGCACGAAAGCGUGGGGAGCAAACA
This 427-nucleotide ribosomal RNA is filed under the name uncultured bacterium. RNAcentral describes it as "bacterial SSU rRNA". It matches the Rfam family "Bacterial small subunit ribosomal RNA", at positions 355 to 774 of the family's 1533-position model. The record is from RNAcentral.